This 254-nucleotide ribosomal RNA is filed under the name uncultured bacterium. RNAcentral describes it as "partial 16S ribosomal RNA". It matches the Rfam family "Bacterial small subunit ribosomal RNA", at positions 524 to 776 of the family's 1533-position model. The record is from RNAcentral.
UACGAAGGGGGCUAGCGUUGCUCGGAAUCACUGGGCGUAAAGCGCACGUAGGCGGACUCUUAAGUCGGUGGUGAAAUCCUGGAGCUCAACUCCAGAACUGCCUCCGAUACUGCGAGUCUCCGAGUCCGGGAGAGGUGAGUGGAACUGCGAGUGUAGAGGUGAAAUUCGUAGAUAUUCGCAAGAACACCAGUGGCGAAGGCGGCUCGCUGGCCCGGUACUGACGCUGAGGUGCGAAAGCGUGGGGAGCAAACAGG